Molecule: ribosomal RNA, 608 nt
Filed under: Bacillus licheniformis
Lineage: Bacteria; Bacillati; Bacillota; Bacilli; Caryophanales; Bacillaceae
Description: bacterial SSU rRNA
Rfam family: Bacterial small subunit ribosomal RNA
Source: RNAcentral
GGAAUCUUCCGCAAUGGACGAAAGUCUGACGGAGCAACGCCGCGUGAGUGAUGAAGGUUUUCGGAUCGUAAAACUCUGUUGUUAGGGAAGAACAAGUACCGUUCGAAUAGGGCGGUACCUUGACGGUACCUAACCAGAAAGCCACGGCUAACUACGUGCCAGCAGCCGCGGUAAUACGUAGGUGGCAAGCGUUGUCCGGAAUUAUUGGGCGUAAAGCGCGCGCAGGCGGUUUCUUAAGUCUGAUGUGAAAGCCCCCGGCUCAACCGGGGAGGGUCAUUGGAAACUGGGGAACUUGAGUGCAGAAGAGGAGAGUGGAAUUCCACGUGUAGCGGUGAAAUGCGUAGAGAUGUGGAGGAACACCAGUGGCGAAGGCGACUCUCUGGUCUGUAACUGACGCUGAGGCGCGAAAGCGUGGGGAGCGAACAGGAUUAGAUACCCUGGUAGUCCACGCCGUAAACGAUGAGUGCUAAGUGUUAGAGGGUUUCCGCCCUUUAGUGCUGCAGCAAACGCAUUAAGCACUCCGCCUGGGGAGUACGGUCGCAAGACUGAAACUCAAAGGAAUUGACGGGGGCCCGCACAAGCGGUGGAGCAUGUGGUUUAAUUCGAAG